RNAcentral lists this ribosomal RNA (501 nucleotides) under uncultured bacterium. Its description in RNAcentral is "bacterial SSU rRNA". It matches the Rfam family "Bacterial small subunit ribosomal RNA", at positions 32 to 509 of the family's 1533-position model. The record is from RNAcentral.
AAUCAACGCUGGCGGCGUGCCUCAGACAUGCAAGUCGAACGCGAAAGGUUCCUUCGGGGACCGAGUAGAGUGGCGCACGGGUGAGUAACACGUAGGUAAUUUGCCUUUGGGUGGGGAAUAACAGCCGGAAACGGCUGCUAAUACCGCAUAAUGCAGCGGCUCGACAUCGAGACAGUUGUUAAAGCGGGGAUCGCAAGACCUCGCGCCUAAAGAGAAGCCUGCGGCAGAUUAGCUAGUUGGCAGGGUAAUGGCCUACCAAGGCGACGAUCUGUAACCGGCCUGAGAGGGCGGUCGGGUCACACUGACACUGACAUACGGGUCAGACUCCUACGGGAGGCAGCAGUCGGGAAUUUUGGGCAAUGGGCGAAAGCCUGACCCAGCAACGCCGCGUGAAGGAUGAAAUCCCUCGGGAUGUAAACUUCGCAAGAAUGGGAAGAAUAAGUGUGGGCUAAUACCCUCAUGAUGACGGUACCAUUUGUAAGCUCCGGCUAACUUCGUGCC